GAUGAACGCUGGCGGCGUGCUUAACACAUGCAAGUCGAACGGUGAAGGCGGAGCUUGCUCUGCUGGAUCAGUGGCGAACGGGUGAGUAACACGUGAGCAAUCUGCCCCUGACUCUGGGAUAAGCGCUGGAAACGGCGUCUAAUACUGGAUACGAGCUGCGAAGGCAUCUUCAGCAGCUGGAAAGAAUUUCGGUCAGGGAUGAGCUCGCGGCCUAUCAGCUUGUUGGUGAGGUAAUGGCUCACCAAGGCGUCGACGGGUAGCCGGCCUGAGAGGGUGACCGGCCACACUGGGACUGAGACACGGCCCAGACUCCUACGGGAGGCAGCAGUGGGGAAUAUUGCACAAUGGGCGAAAGCCUGAUGCAGCAACGCCGCGUGAGGGACGACGGCCUUCGGGUUGUAAACCUCUUUUAGCAGGGAAGAAGCGAAGGUGACGGUACCUGCAGAAAAAGCGCCGGCUAACUACGUG
This 468-nucleotide ribosomal RNA is filed under the name uncultured bacterium. RNAcentral's name for it is "partial 16S ribosomal RNA". It matches the Rfam family "Bacterial small subunit ribosomal RNA", at positions 28 to 507 of the family's 1533-position model. The record is from RNAcentral.